Molecule: ribosomal RNA, 1231 nt
Filed under: uncultured Actinomycetes bacterium
Lineage: Bacteria; Bacillati; Actinomycetota; Actinomycetes
Description: bacterial SSU rRNA
Rfam family: Bacterial small subunit ribosomal RNA
Source: RNAcentral
UCGCGGCCUAUCAGCUUGUUGGUGGGGUAACGGCCCACCAAGGCGACGACGGGUAGCCGGCCUGAGAGGGCGACCGGCCACACUGGGACUGAGACACGGCCCAGACUCCUACGGGAGGCAGCAGUGGGGAAUAUUGCACAAUGGGCGCAAGUCUGAUGCAGCGACGCCGCGUGAGGGAUGAAGGCCUUCGGGUUGUAAACCUCUUUCAGCAGGGAAGAAGCGCAAGUGACGGUACCUGCAGAAGAAGCGCCGGCUAACUACGUGCCAGCAGCCGCGGUAAUACGUAGGGCGCAAGCGUUGUCCGGAAUUAUUGGGCGUAAAGAGCUCGUAGGCGGUUUGUCGCGUCUGCUGUGAAAACUCGAGGCUCAACCUCGGGCUUGCAGUGGGUACGGGCAGACUAGAGUGCGGUAGGGGAGACUGGAAUUCCUGGUGUAGCGGUGGAAUGCGCAGAUAUCAGGAGGAACACCGAUGGCGAAGGCAGGUCUCUGGGCCGCAACUGACGCUGAGGAGCGAAAGCAUGGGGAGCGAACAGGAUUAGAUACCCUGGUAGUCCAUGCCGUAAACGUUGGGCACUAGGUGUGGGGCUCAUUCCACGAGUUCCGUGCCGCAGCAAACGCAUUAAGUGCCCCGCCUGGGGAGUACGGCCGCAAGGCUAAAACUCAAAGAAAUUGACGGGGGCCCGCACAAGCGGCGGAGCAUGCGGAUUAAUUCGAUGCAACGCGAAGAACCUUACCAAGGCUUGACAUACACCGGAAACUUCCAGAGAUGGUUGCCCCGCAAGGUCGGUGUACAGGUGGUGCAUGGUUGUCGUCAGCUCGUGUCGUGAGAUGUUGGGUUAAGUCCCGCAACGAGCGCAACCCUCGUCCUAUGUUGCCAGCGGGUCAUGCCGGGGACUCAUAGGAGACUGCCGGGGUCAACUCGGAGGAAGGUGGGGAUGACGUCAAAUCAUCAUGCCCCUUAUGUCUUGGGCUUCACGCAUGCUACAAUGGCCGGUACAAAGGGCUGCGAUACCGCGAGGUGGAGCGAAUCCCAAAAAGCUGGUCUCAGUUCGGAUUGGGGUCUGCAACUCGACCCCGUGAAGUCGGAGUCGCUAGUAAUCGCAGAUCAGCAACGCUGCGGUGAAUACGUUCCCGGGCCUUGUACACACCGCCCGUCAAGUCACGAAAGUCGGUAACACCCGAAGCCGGUGGCCCAACUGUUCGCAGGGGGAGCCGUCGAAGGUGGGGCUGGA